AUAGCCUGACCAGGAACAUAAAAACCCUCGCCAUGUUGCGGAAAACUAAUGGUACUAAUUUCUUUUAAUGGCAACAGUAACUGAAAACUUCAUUGACAUGUCACCUUGCAUGUCAGUCUAUUGCUGUCAAAGUGUAAACAAACUUUAUUUUAAAUGUGCGCAAUUGGUUUUAUGAAUUAAAUUGCUAAAAUAUUUUUAUAGUCGUGAAAGAAAAGUGGUUCACAAUGUGUUAAAGUAUUUGUCGAAGAGAAAUACUAAGUGUUUGGACAAUAUUUUCAUUGAAUAAUGUUUCCGACAAAGGUUGUCAAAUUGACUGACAUGUUUAUCGUAUAGUACAGUCCACUAUGAAAAUUAGCUGUGGUUCUUGUUUCAACUACCUAUUUUAAAAUUUUUUGUCACUUUCUAAGUGUUGAAUUUUAUGGGAUUGGGAAAGAAGUACCGAGUUUGAAGCGUUCAUGAGCAGACAUUGCAGUUGAAUAUUCAAGUUCUGAAUUUGAUUAUUGAUGAAUAAUAAAAUAAAUUCUACUAGCUCGA
Molecule: long non-coding RNA, 534 nt
Organism: Ostrinia nubilalis (European corn borer)
Lineage: Eukaryota; Metazoa; Arthropoda; Insecta; Lepidoptera; Crambidae
Exons: 2
Source: RefSeq, a predicted model, not a curated record